Molecule: ribosomal RNA, 270 nt
Filed under: uncultured bacterium
Lineage: Bacteria
Description: partial 16S ribosomal RNA
Rfam family: Bacterial small subunit ribosomal RNA
Source: RNAcentral
AUUGAACGCUGGCGGCAUGCCUUACACAUGCAAGUCGAGCGGCAGCGCGGGGGCAACCCUGGCGGCGAGCGGCGAACGGGUGAGUAAUACAUCGGAACGUGUCCAGUAGCGGGGGAUAACCUGUCGAAAGAUAGGCUAAUACCGCAUACGACCUACGGGUGAAAGCGGGGGACCGCAAGGCCUCGCACUAUUGGAGCGGCCGAUGUCGGAUUAGCUAGUUGGCGGGGUAAAAGCCCACCAAGGCGACGAUCCGUAGCUGGUCUGAGAGGA